This is a long non-coding RNA of Spinacia oleracea (spinach), 1306 nucleotides long. RefSeq lists it as uncharacterized. Lineage: Eukaryota; Viridiplantae; Streptophyta; Magnoliopsida; Caryophyllales; Amaranthaceae. The transcript has 3 exons. The record is from RefSeq and is a predicted model, not a curated record.
UGCAAAAAUCAAAUUAACCAAAAUCUGAAAUUUUGUUCCUUUGCUUCCUUCCUGUUCGAACCAUUACCCACCACCUUCAACCACCACUUCGUCCGUCACCAAUCACCAACCCACGAACCACCAGCCACCGCGUCGACCGCCCAGAACCGCCCCAAGUCACCACCACCACUUCCCCUGUUUCCUCCCUGUUUCGCACACCUCUGUCUCCCUCUUUCUUCGUCGCUGCUGCACCCCCCCAGGCCACCGCACCACCUUUUAUAACCACCUCAAUCCCCGGCGAUAGGCCGCUGCGCCGCCCCGGGUUCGACCAAGAAACACCCCUCCCGUGCUUUUUCUCUGUUUUGUUCGAACACCCCUUUCCUUUUCCUUGCAGCUCCGCCGCCGCGAAACCACCACCACCGCUGUCGCCUCUCAGCCGUGGUUCCGCAGUGCGCCGCCCAGCCGCCACCCCUGUCUCCCUUCUUCCUCCCCUGCUCCUCCUUCGAGCCCUCCCCUCCCCUGCUCCCGUGUUUCCCUUCCCAGAAAAAGAAAACAAGUUCCAUUUAGGAACUUUGUUUUAUUUAUUUCUCAAGCCAAGCCCAAAUCACUUAGCCCAAUUUUCCCAAUAAAUUGGACUCGGAGUUCAGGAAGAACGAUCCAUCGAACAGGAAGUAUAAACUACGGGAGGUACGAAGAAGAUCAUGGGAUGCCUUAGAGUGAGGAUGCAACCACCAAAUUCACGAUCGAUGUUUAGUAAAGAUAACGAUGUCAUUAGCAAUAAAGGGAUGUAUUAUUUAAAGUCUAAGAUUGAUUUCAUGAUUUGAGUUAGAUUUUAAUAUUAAUGUUUAAUCAGAUGUUAAAAGUAUUUAUUAUUAAAGUUUAUUUAGUAAUUUAAAAAGGUUAUGUCGCCUUGUAUUUCCCACGAGGGAAAUAGGCAUGUGACGCUCCGACUAAAUUAGGGUUUCCGCUGCUAAUUAAAGAUAAUUAACUUAAUUAAUGGUGUUUGGAAGUCGGGGCGUUACAAUGUCAAAGUGGUAGGUGUCAAGCCCUGUGGCAGCCUCACUGCUCCUGCACCGUUAACCAUUCCUUCAGCAGGGAUUGGAAAUUGAUUUUCACUCAUUACGCUGCCGUAACAUUUUAAAAAUCGAUUCCUAAUUUGACAAUUUCAAGCCAAUUCGAUUAUAUCUAACAUUAUAGAUCCAAAAUUUCAAGCCAAUUCAUCCACAAAUUUCUAAUUCCCAUUGAAGAACAAUUUUUUUUUCUUUUGCGGGAGAGGCGUGUCAGGGUAUGCAGGAAAAAUGAAGGUGAAAGAAUUAACAAACCCAAU